UUAUGAACUCAGAAGCAGCAAAUAUUAGAGAGGCAACCAUUGCUGAAUUUACUUUUGUUCUCGGUUUUUAGUCCUCAUUCCUUCUAAUGCUUUGAUUCAGUGUUAACAAGCAUGAUCAAAGCAAUCAUUCUGACCAUAUUAACUUUUUGGGUAACAGUUUGUGUGGUAUCUUCUCCCAUCAUUCAACAGUCUCCUGAACAUCUUCUUCGGACAGUUGGGGAGAAAGAGGCAAAUCUGUCUUGUCGUCAUGGUGACCCCAGCUAUACAUUUAUGUACUGGUAUAAGCAGAAGAGCUACAGUGGUUCUUUAGAGCUUAUUGGAUUCCUCCAGUAUGGAGCACAUACGCCUGUGGAGAAAUUCAAAUCGCGAUUCAUGAUCUCAGGACAUGCUACACGGGAUGCAUUCCUUCUCAUAUCCAACAUAUCUACUGGGGACAGUGCAGUGUAUUUCUGUGCAGCUAGUGUGCACAGCAAUGCACUUCUCUGUAACCCCUAA
Molecule: non-coding RNA, 495 nt
Organism: Myxocyprinus asiaticus (Chinese sucker)
Lineage: Eukaryota; Metazoa; Chordata; Actinopteri; Cypriniformes; Catostomidae
Source: the annotation of a RefSeq genome assembly